Molecule: long non-coding RNA, 318 nt
Filed under: Nicotiana benthamiana
Lineage: Eukaryota; Viridiplantae; Streptophyta; Magnoliopsida; Solanales; Solanaceae
Description: long non-coding RNA (NBEN_LNC016359)
Source: RNAcentral
GUUAAUAUAGCUUUGCAUAUUUCCUUUUGAAUACUCUAAAUUCAGUUGGGUGCUUUGAAUACAUGUUAACUAGUAUAUAGUGUUAGUUAAUGAGUCAUUACUCUCAGAAUUCUAACUCAAUUUUCUGAUUAAUAGUCCAGGUUUGGUCAGGUUUUGGUUAUAGCUGAUAGUUAGCUAGUAGUUGAUUUUAAGAAUUAGAUUCGUAAAAUAGUAAUUCUAGCACAUUAAAAGGGUAAUAUAGGGUUUUAGCUGGUUCUAGUAAUUUUAAGAUUAAAACAAGGGUAGUAUAGGUAUCCCUUAAAUAAAAGAUAAUUCAAG